CUCGGAUCUCACCAGAUCUCUCACCAGAUCUGUGAGGAUUUCACCAGAUCGAUGAAGGUAACCUCCUUUUCUCUCUCUCUCUCUCUCAAAUUCAUAAACAACCGCGGGGUGCUGUACAAUCGAUUUUAGGGUUUGCCAUUUCAUAAACAACCGUGGGGUGCUGUACCACUUGAUGUGCGAGAUUGAAGGCAACCACCUCACUGCUGCCGCUAUUAUCGGUCAUGACGGCACCGUUUGGGCUCAAUCCGCUAAUUUCCCUCAGGUUUACACUCUAUUUAUCACUUUCUGUAACCUAAUUUUGUUCACCGAUUGAUUUGUUUGUGUUAAUUAGGUCAUUUGUGCUUCAAUUGAGUUGUUUAAGUCCGAUUGUUGUUGAUUUAGAUUCGGAUCUGAUCCGUUUCGUUACGUACUUGCGUCUCAGUUCAGAUUCGUUUAGGUUUUCGAGGAGUUGAUUUGUUAAUAUGGAUUUACGAUCGAUGAUUCGUUGAUUUCGAUCGGUUUGUAGUGUCGGUUUUGAUGAUUUGAUCUGAUUUUGUUUGUUUAGUGAUAGAUAGAUCAUAGAUAUGAACUUGAUUCUAUUUUUGAUUUUGUGAAGGAUGUACAGUUUCAGAUCUGUGUAACGUUGAAUGAAAAAAAAAGAAAAAAAAUUGCAGUUGAUUUUGAUAGAGCUGUGAACAACUUAUUGAGUGAUGAAAAUAUUAAAUGGUGACAUGCAUGAUAACAUGAGUUGGAUGCUUAGAUCUACAAUAUAUGUCAUUGAAUCUUUAUUUGAGGAUUGGAAGGGGUUUUACUGUUUUAGUUUUAGGAUUGCUUGUUAAAACUUUUUAUCAGUUUAUUUUGUUCCGGUAUACAGUAAGGAGUGUUGAGGAUGUCUGGAUUGCUUAUCGCGAUUGUAAGGGGGUUUAGGAUUGUUUAUUAAACCAUUUUUAUCAGCUUAUCGCGUUUCGAUAUCCAGUAAGCAGUUUUGAGGGUGUUUGGAUUGGAGCUAUGGUUCCAAUAUCGAAAAAGACAAAUGGGGCAAGAUGAUGCAAGAGGCUCUAUGCCUUCUGAUGAGAAGCUCCUCCUAAGGUCCAUGAAGAGACAGGAUCAUCCGAAGCAAAUAUCUUUACCAGGAAAUCUAUAACUAAUUCGAGUCGGAGGACAUUUUAGUUUUAAACCGGCUCAGCAUGCGCAGCCGCAACAGCAGCGAACGCAGCUGCAUCGGCUCAGCAUGCGCAGCCGCAACGGCGCAGCGAGCGCAGCCGCGUCUGUAUCACCGAGCGCAACCCCAACGAGCCCGACGCAGCCGCAUCUGUAUCACCGAGCGCAACCGCAUCUUUAAUACUUGUUUAUUACAGUAGGUUAACUGGCUAACCUUUUUUUUUCUUUUCAGAUAACAAGAAUCGAGUAUGUUCAUUCUAAAGGGAUAUGAAGAAGAUCAGGAGGAUAAUGAAGAAGAGGAAGGAGGACUGAGUCAAUCUGGAAAAGAGUUGAGGAAGCUGCUCGGGAAAAAUAGUGGGGUUAAUGAAUCCGAGCCAGAGCAAGAGGACGAUGACGACGAUGAUAUUGAUGACGAAAGUUCCCUGUUCUUGCACCAAAGGCUAAUAAUAAUGGGGUCCAUCAAAGCUUAAUAACAGCCCUCUUAAAGAGGAACCCGUCGAUAAUAGCCCCUCAAAGCCAGCAGCUGCUACAACAUCAGCUCGGGGAACCCCAUCUUCAAAUAAGUCGGCUAAGGGAAAGCGAAAAAGCACCGAGAGAACAAACCGUCAAAUGGUGCCGCCACAGCUCAAAACCAUGCUUGCCUUCUGAAGAUGAUUUUCCGUAUACGAUACGUGUUGAGAGCAACAUAACCGAAAGUAAUGGAUCUUCAAGGGGUGAUGGAUUUCAUGUCUAUUAUAGGAAAUAAUAGUUCUAAUAUGUGUCACAUUAGAUAAAACUUGUCUGACAGUUAUUUUGACAUAUGCUUUUAUCUUUUUUGUGUGAUGAUGUGAUAGCAUGGCAUCCGUUUGCAGGGGAUGUCUUGCAUUACAAGACGCCGGUGUACCGUUAAAGAGUUCUAUUGCCGGAAUAGCAAUGGGUUUGGUUCUAGACACACAUGAAUCUGGCGGAGAUGGAACACCACUUAUUUUAUCUGACAUCACCGGCUCCGAGGAUGCUUCUGGAGAUAUGGACUUAAAGGUUGCUGGCAAUGAAGAUAGAGUAACAACAUUUCAAAUGGAUAUAAAGGUAGGUGGAAUUAUUUUGUCAACAAUGAAUCAGGCUUUGCUGCAAGCAAAGGAAUGAUAGUGUUGUCUUGAAAAGCUACUACAGCUUGAGAUGGAAAAGGGAGAGAACAUUGCUGCUGAACUGGGCACCGUUUGAAGUUACUUGCGCAAAUUGCAAAAGACGAAUUUUGUACUGCUUCAAACCCAAGAUCCAUGGCUGAACAAUUUACAACAAUGUCAUGCAAAUGGUUUGCCAUCCUCAUGGGUCAAUAAAAGAUUCUUUUUGUUCCACCACCAGCAAGAGAUCCAAGAUUGUUUUUUUGACUUUUGUUUCGUUUACGUAUGGAUUGACUUAGAAAUUGUUGUUUGCUUUACUUAUGAAUUGAUUUUGAAAUGGUUGUUUGAUAUUGUGUUGGCUGCUUCA
Molecule: RNA transcript, 2607 nt
Organism: Helianthus annuus (common sunflower)
Lineage: Eukaryota; Viridiplantae; Streptophyta; Magnoliopsida; Asterales; Asteraceae
Gene name: polyribonucleotide nucleotidyltransferase 1, chloroplastic-like
Exons: 7
Source: RefSeq, a predicted model, not a curated record